UACGUAGGGUGCGAGCGUUGUCCGGAAUUACUGGGCGUAAAGAGCUCGUAGGUGGUUUGUCGCGUUGUUCGUGAAAACCGGGGGCUUAACCCUCGGCGUGCGGGCGAUACGGGCAGACUUGAGUACUGCAGGGGAGACUGGAAUUCCUGGUGUAGCGGUGGAAUGCGCAGAUAUCAGGAGGAACACCGGUGGCGAAGGCGGGUCUCUGGACAGUUCCUGACACUGAGGCACGAAGGCCAGGGGAGCAAACGGG
Molecule: ribosomal RNA, 253 nt
Filed under: uncultured bacterium
Lineage: Bacteria
Description: partial 16S ribosomal RNA
Rfam family: Bacterial small subunit ribosomal RNA
Source: RNAcentral